CCUACGGGAGGCAGCAGUGGGGAAUUUUGGACAAUGGGCGCAAGCCUGAUCCAGCAAUGCCGCGUGAGUGAAGAAGGCCUUCGGGUUGUAAAGCUCUUUUGUCAGGGAAGAAACGGUCUACUCUAAUACAGUGGGCUAAUGACGGUACCUGAAGAAUAAGCACCGGCUAACUACGUGCCAGCAGCCGCGGUAAUACGUAGGGUGCAAGCGUUAAUCGGAAUUACUGGGCGUAAAGCGUGCGCAGGCGGUUAUAUAAGUCAGAUGUGAAAUCCCCGGGCUCAACCUGGGAACUGCAUUUGAGACUGUAUGGCUAGAGUGUGUCAGAGGGGGGUAGAAUUCCACGUGUAGCAGUGAAAUGCGUAGAUAUGUGGAGGAAUACCGAUGGCGAAGGCAGCCCCCUGGGAUAACACUGACGCUCAUGCACGAAAGCGUGGGGAGCAAACAGGAUUAGAUACCCUGGUAGUCCACGCCCUAAACGAUGUCUACUAGUUNUCGGGACUUAAUUAUNUGUAGANAGCACGACGNGAGUAGACGCCGCGGGAGGUACGGUCGCGAAGAAGUAAAACUAACGUAAAGUAGAAGUUAGUAGGACGUAGAGAGAGACCGACGGACGACGACGAGGGAGGAGGG
Molecule: ribosomal RNA, 630 nt
Filed under: uncultured bacterium
Lineage: Bacteria
Description: bacterial SSU rRNA
Rfam family: Bacterial small subunit ribosomal RNA (bases 1-536)
Source: RNAcentral